Long non-coding RNA from Lolium rigidum, 1258 nucleotides. RefSeq lists it as uncharacterized. The transcript has 5 exons. The record is from RefSeq and is a predicted model, not a curated record. Lineage: Eukaryota; Viridiplantae; Streptophyta; Magnoliopsida; Poales; Poaceae.
GGCUUGGCGACAAAGAUCCACUGCUCUAGCCUCUAGGUGGUAUUGCGAGCAUGGCCACAUCGAAGUUCCUAAGCUCUAGUGCCUACAUUAGAAAUUAAAGACACCAUCGCUAUGCCUCUCCUAGACUGACUGACUGACGGUUUACCCCUUAGAGCUGUGUCAAGGGGUGACCUCCAGGAGGCUAUUAAAAGUGCUUUCACUUGAUGAAAACGGGAACCAAGUACAGAAACAAGGAACAAAAUGUACCAGGAAUUGCUUUAUGAUCUCCAAACAACAUAUAUGACUUGCUUUGUGUGUGGGCACGAAAAGUUUAUGCUCUUUCAUGGAAUGUGCGCUGCUGUCCAAAGUGUGCGCUUUUGUACAGAUGCAAGCUCAAGGUUGAUAUAUAAUCAGCACAUGAUGGACGAUCUCAGCACAUGAUGGCCCUCUGAUUGAGCUCCCAGCAGAUCCCAGCCAUCUUUUUCACCGCGUGGAUCCGAGGAGUACUUACAACAGGGCAUCUGCAUAAUUUACGGCAACCAAGCCAAUAGCUCUUUGAGAGUACCUCAAUUAGAUGGCCAAGAAUUUGAUCCUCCUGAUUACCGUCUGACUGACCUCUAAAUUUGUUAUCGAGAAGAGAACGCAGCUGCAGCAAAAGGCUAUGAAUUGAAUUGAAUGUAGAAGACUUUGCGGGCCGAGGUAAAUUUCCAUUUUCCGUCUUAGCUGAUACAUGAGGAUCAGAGCACUGAGAACUAUGAGAUGCCACUUCACAGCUUCCGCAAGGCAUCAGCGGAUACAUAGACUGUGAGAAGAGGCAACAUGUGUGAUCCCUCACUCCGACAACCUAAGCCCUAGAUGAGUUGUUCCAACUAUUUGUUUCUUAUAAACCAGGUCAAGGUUCAUCUUACUUUUAAUCAACAUUCUGAUCUACUUGCAUUUUGUGGUGUUUAUCCUGAGACUAAAAUAGUUAUUCCAGGUUACUUGCACUGAUAAAUGGAGAUUGCGCCAGUCAUCUAUCAAGAUUCUAAUCUGCCUACAUUUUUUGGUCUUCUUUUGUAAAGACUGAGCCAAUAUGCCAUCUUCAAGUCAGGAUCAUUCUUGAGAGUAAUUAUGGGAAGUUGCAAAAAGUCGGCUGGGAAGAGUAGCCGAAGUGAUAAAAGGUGGGACUUACUGCAGCGGAAAAAAUAUGUUUAUCUCUAUUUUUGGAUAAGAGUGAGCAUGGUUAGUAUUUCAGAUAUACAUUCACUAAAGUAGAUGGAAUUUCCAGAUCAAACAUGGG